GACGAACGCUGGCGGCGUGCUUAACACAUGCAAGUCGAACGGAAAGGCCCUGCUUUUGUGGGGUGCUCGAGUGGCAAACGGGUGAGUAACCCGUGAGUAACCUGCCCUUGCCUUUGGGAUAACUUCAGGAAACUGGGGCUAAUCCCGGAUAGGAGCUCCUGCUGCAUGGUGGGGGUUGGAAAGUUUCGGCGGUUGGGGAUGGACUCGCGGCUUAUCAGCUUGUUGGUGGGGUAGUGGCUUACCAAGGCUUUGACGGGUAGCCGGCCUGAGAGGGUGACCGGCCACAUUGGGACUGAGAUACGGCCCAGACUCCUACGGGAGGCAGCAGUAGGGAAUAUUGCACAAUGGGCGGAAGCCUGAUGCAGCAACGCCGCGUGCGGGAUGACGGCCUUCGGGUUGUAAACCGCUUUCGCCUGUGACGAAGCGUGAGUGACGGUAAUGGGUAAAGAAGCACCGGCUAACUACGUG
This 468-nucleotide ribosomal RNA is filed under the name uncultured bacterium. RNAcentral's name for it is "partial 16S ribosomal RNA". It matches the Rfam family "Bacterial small subunit ribosomal RNA", at positions 28 to 507 of the family's 1533-position model. The record is from RNAcentral.